CCUACGGGAGGCAGCAGUUGGGAAUCUUGGACAAUGGGGGAAACCCUGAUCCAGCCAUGCCGCGUGAGUGAUGAAGGCCUUCGGGUUGUAAAACUCUUUCGCGCACGACGCGGUAGUGCGAGAAGAAGCUCCGGCUAACUUCGUGCCAGCAGCCGCGGUAAUACGAAGGGGGCUAGCGUUGUUCGGAAUUACUGGGCGUAAAGCGCGCGCAGGCGGUCUUCCAAGUCAGUGGUGAAAGCCCGGAGCUCAACUCCGGAACUGCCAUUGAAACUGUUAGACUUGAGGACGAGAGAGGUGAGUGGAAUUCCCAGUGUAGAGGUGAAAUUCGUAGAUAUUGGGAAGAACACCGGUGGCGAAGGCGGCUCACUGGCUCGUCUGACGCUCAGGCGCGACAGCGUGGGGAUCAAACAGGAUUAGAUACCCUUGUAGUC
RNAcentral lists this ribosomal RNA (431 nucleotides) under uncultured bacterium. RNAcentral describes it as "partial 16S ribosomal RNA". It matches the Rfam family "Bacterial small subunit ribosomal RNA", at positions 338 to 795 of the family's 1533-position model. The record is from RNAcentral.